Molecule: ribosomal RNA, 406 nt
Filed under: uncultured bacterium
Lineage: Bacteria
Description: partial 16S ribosomal RNA
Rfam family: Bacterial small subunit ribosomal RNA
Source: RNAcentral
AUUGAACGCUGGCGGCAGGCCUAACACAUGCAAGUCGAACGAGUGGCGGACGGGUGAGUAAUGUCUGGGAAACUGGCUGAUGGAGGGGGAUAACUACUGGAAACGGUAGCUAAUACCGCAUACCAUCAAAUGUGCCCAGAUGGGAUUAGCUAGUUGGUGGGGUAACGGCUCACCAAGGCGACGAUCCCUAGCUGGUCUGAGAGGAUGACCAGCAACACUGGAACUGAUACACGGUCCAGACUCUUACGGGAGGCAGAAGUGGGGAAUAUUGCACAAUGAGCGAAAGCCUGAUGCGGCCAUGCCGCGUGUAUGAAGAAGGCCUUCGGGUUGUAAAGUACUUUCAGCGGGGAGGCGUUACCCGCAGAAGAAGCACCGGCUAACUACGUGCCAGCAGCCGCGGUAAUAC